This is a long non-coding RNA of Anguilla rostrata (American eel), 1546 nucleotides long. RefSeq lists it as uncharacterized. The record is from RefSeq and is a predicted model, not a curated record. NCBI's taxonomy places the organism in Eukaryota, Metazoa, Chordata, Actinopteri, Anguilliformes, Anguillidae. The transcript has 3 exons.
CUACACUUUCAUACCCCGCUGCGUGCUUCUCUCCUUACUGAACUUACCCUUACCCUGCCUGCUUCCUGUUUCCUGUUUCCGAGUCAGCGCCAGGCACACUGGGACCCACCGGCGGAGGAAGCAGCAGGGCUCCACAGCGGGCACUGAACGAACGGACGCAGACAGACGGCGUACUUCGCACGAUUUGUUUGAAUAUAGACCGUGAGCGACGAAUAAGGAGAAGGAAGUACAGAGAGACUUGUAAGAGCUGAGAAAGACUGGUGUUAUGGCUCUGGAUACGAGGUCUGUGCAGAGCUCACACUGUAAUAUGGAGAUGAGAGCGCGUUUCUUAUCCCCUCGGCCCUGGCACAGGGGUCAAAGGUCAGGGGCCUGGGGAGGGUAUUAGCUGGGAGACGGGGGGGUGGGGGGUGGGGUGGGGGGAGGCUUAGCUCCUCCACCCGGCCGUCAGCCGUCCCGAAAUGGCCCCGCCCGACCCGACCGAGAGGAGACGCCCCCCCCCCCCCGCGGGGUGGGAAUCACACGGGUCGUUAAGCACUGACGGGAACUGUCCUUCGCUGUCUCCGCGCGCCGUGGGGACGCUGGGGGCUGACGCGCCACAUAAACAAGCGGCAGCUCGGCGGCGGAACUUUCCGGUCCCGAAGGCGCCGGCGUAGCGGUCGCGGUCUCCGCCACUCCGCAGCAGUGAGGAGGGGACUCGCAGGACAGGCUGGGUCACGGUUUACUUCAGCUGUCGGAAUGGCCUUUGGGGUCAAGGAACUGCGGACGGAAAGGAAGUCGCACUGCCUUCACAGAUGCCACGGAAGAGUUUGUUUGGACAGCCUCGGCGUGCGCAGGGUGCUGGAGAGAGAGGCGCACGCCACGUCCCCCAGAGGCUCUGCGCGCUCCGCAGUCCAACUCGGGAGGAAGAGGAAGACGGAGGAAGUCUCCGCCUUCGCGGCUCGCCAGGCAGAAUUCUGGACACCUGGUCAAACAGCAGGGGGCGCUGGAGUGCGGUGAGAUGGUGCAACCCUAGCUGUCUGAAGACCUCUCCUUCCAUGGGUGUCACUCACGCUAAUUAUGCACUGGAUCACAGCUGGCACUGGAGCAGAUACCAGACCAUGGGGCCCAUCCACACACUGGAACAGAGCCUUAACAGAUACCAGACCAUGGGGCCCAUCUACACACUGGAGCAGAGCCUUAACAGAUACCAGACCAUGGGGCCCAUCCACACACUGGAGUAGAGCCUUAACAGACACCAGACCAUGGGGCCCAUCCACACUCUGGAACAGAGCCUUAACAGAGACCAGACCAUGGGGCCCAUCUACACACUGGAACAGGGUCUUAACAGACACCAGACCAUGGGGCUCAUCCACACACUGGAGUAGAGCCUUAACAGACACCAGACCAUGGGGCCCAUCCACACACUGGAACAGAGCCUUAACAGACACCAGACCAUGGGGCCCAUCCACACACUGGAACAGAGCCUUAACAGAUACCAGACCAUGGGGCCCAUCCACACACUGGAACAGAGCCUUAACAGAUACCAGACCAUGGGGCCCAUCCACAC